CAGGAAAUGUGCCUGAACCAAAGGGCUACUUUGAUAGAGUAGAACAUAGGGGUUUAAACCCCCUCAUUUCCCCCACUAGAAAG
Molecule: transfer RNA, 83 nt
Filed under: Trachylepis comorensis
Lineage: Eukaryota; Metazoa; Chordata; Lepidosauria; Squamata; Scincidae
Description: tRNA-Ile
Rfam family: tRNA (bases 3-72)
About the family: Transfer RNA (tRNA) molecules are approximately 80 nucleotides in length. Their secondary structure includes four short double-helical elements and three loops (D, anti-codon, and T loops). Further hydrogen bonds mediate the characteristic L-shaped molecular structure. tRNAs have two regions of fundamental functional importance: the anti-codon, which is responsible for specific mRNA codon recognition, and the 3' end, to which the tRNAs corresponding amino acid is attached (by aminoacyl-tRNA synthetases). tRNAs cope with the degeneracy of the genetic code in two manners: having more than one tRNA (with a specific anti-codon) for a particular amino acid; and 'wobble' base-pairing, i.e. permitting non-standard base-pairing at the 3rd anti-codon position.
Source: RNAcentral